Molecule: long non-coding RNA, 1130 nt
Filed under: Sus scrofa (pig)
Lineage: Eukaryota; Metazoa; Chordata; Mammalia; Artiodactyla; Suidae
Description: lncRNA (ENSSSCG00015036732.1)
Source: RNAcentral
CGCCAUGGCAGGGCCUCGUCCAUCCAGCCUGGGCCGCGCUGGCCGGAGCAGACCGCAAGCGGCCCGCUGGGAGCCCAGCCAAGAGCGGUGUUUUUCCAGGUCCGCGCAGGGCCACGGGAACCCGCGUGUUUGUUUGGUGGGAAUGGAUUCCUGGAAAACUAGACGGAAGGCUCUCCCAGCUGCUGGCUCCGCUCUGUUGAUGGAUACCAUCCAGUGUCACCACAGGGGCUUCCAGUGCCUGGAAUUUUGGUGGGAGGAGAGCAACUUCAGGAAUGAAGGAGGAGGUAACAGCAGCAGAGAUUCAGGGCAGACCUUGGGGAGACGCCCAUCAAAGCAGGUGAGGAUGGGGAAAAAGGACCGAGGGUGGGCCCAUCGGUCCGUUCCAGAACUCCCACUGGACCGUCAAACGGGGUUGAGCGGACAGCUGAGCCCUGGAGCCUGGGGACGAGAUGUUCCAUCCUCUGAGCAGACUGAGGCCGGAUGCACUGCUUGGAGCCGACGCCGCACCAGCUCCAGCUCCCUUCCUUGGCUGCAGGGUCUUCUUUGGAGUGAGGGUCGGCCUCUCGGCGCCUCAGGGAGCGCAGGGCCCUUCGGAGGCAAGUGGUGUGGGGGCCUCUCCCAUGUGGGGGGCUCUGUUAGACCUCCUUCCUUCCUCUUCUCGUUGGCGGCGAGGCUGGAGGGUGUGCUCUUUCCAGACCCUUCUCUCUCACGUGUCUGAACAGUCAGAGGAAGCGGCAGGGAGAGGAUGAACCAUCCGAGCCCUGAGAGCUGGUGGGAACCGUGAGAGACCAUNAUUGUAGGAGGAGGUAACAGCAGCAGAGAUUCAGGGCAGACCUUGGGGAGACGCCCAUCAAAGCAGGUGAGGAUGGGGAAAAAGGACCGAGGGUGGGCCCAUCGGUCCGUUCCAGAACUCCCACUGGACCGUCAAACGGGGUUGAGCGGACAGCUGAGCCCUGGAGCCUGGGGACGAGAUGUUCCAUCCUCUGAGCAGACUGAGGCCGGAUGCACUGCUUGGAGCCGACGCCGCACCAGCUCCAGCUCCCUUCCUUGGCUGCAGGGUCUUCUUUGGAGUGAGGGUCGGCCUCUCGGCGCCUCAGGGAGCGCAGGGCCCUUCGGAGGCAAGUGGUGUG